GACGAACGCUGGCGGCGUGGAUUAGGCAUGCAAGUCGAACGGUAUCAUCCUUUCGGGGGUGAGAGAGUGGCGAACUGGUGAGUAACACGUAGGUUAUCUACCCUCAAGACGGGGACAACCCAGGGAAACUUGGGCUAAUACCGGAUGUGAGCAACUUUUAGUUGUUUGAAAGGUGGCGUAAGCUGUCGCUUGGGGAUGAGCCUGCGUCCUAUUAGUUAGUUGGUGAGGUAACGGCUCACCUAGGCAAUGAUAGGUAGGCGGCCUUAACGGGUGGUCGCCCACACUGGGAUUGAGAUACGGCCCAGACUCCUACGGGAGGCAGCAGUCGAGAAUAGUCUACAAUGGUCGGAAGACUGAUAGUGCGACGCCGCGUGAACGAUGAAUCCCUUCGGGGUUAAAGUUCUUUUAUAUGUGAGCAGUGCUUCUUAUAUUAACAGUAUGGGGAAGAGAUAUUAGCAUAUGAAUAAGCAACGGCUAACUCCGUGCCAGCAGCCGCGGUAAAC
Molecule: ribosomal RNA, 503 nt
Filed under: uncultured bacterium
Lineage: Bacteria
Description: bacterial SSU rRNA
Rfam family: Bacterial small subunit ribosomal RNA
Source: RNAcentral